CCCCUUUCAAUUAGAGAAUCUUAGGAUAUGCUAAGGCAAACAGAAGGAGGCAAGGAACGGGACUGCAUCAAUUGCUGUUUGGAACCAAUCUUGUGGGAUGACUUCUGGACAGGGAAAAAACAAUUUCAUCAUCUACCCUAAUACUGACGAAUGUUCUAAAACGUGCUGUAAGGCAGACAUUUCCAAAUGUAACGGAGGAAAGUUUCGAGACAUGUAAUGGUUUCAACAUGCUGCUGAGACCCAACUCAAGAGACGUCAGUUUGUACUGUUUUGUCCAUUCUCAUUGGGCAUGCUUGUAUGGAGAGGUAUAUAUAUUGGAGUACAGACAUGGUGUUUGGUAUGAGUAUUAUAUACAUCCUCUUGAGUCAAAGAGGACCGGUAGCCACUUUGAACUCCGUGUCCGAAAGGGUCAAAGUAUGGAGCUCCCGGUACUCAGAAAAAAAAUUCUGGCCUAUUAGUUUUGAACUUUCGAGUCAAGUUUGGUGUCAUUUUUAUGUAAACUGUUCGCUUCAUUUUUAAAUUGAAGAAGAUUAAAAAUCACAGUAAUAUUAUUAAGGCAAAAGUUUGUGAGCAUACUGUGUUUGUUACUUCCUCACGCCACGCCCAAGUGCCUUAACAAAUAUUAUUUAUAAAAUUAAGUAUGGAGGAAGUAAGAUAUACCCUAAGUUAACACGUCGCUUCUUCUUGAUCGUGGGUAACACUCGGGGCGCAGUAUAAUGAUUAUUAAAAAUCUUUAUGCUGUCCCCUAUGCUGCGAUGGCGAUCGUUGCAGUACUUUCAAUAUUUUUUUUACAUCAAAUAUUAGAAUCAUCAAAGAUUACUAAUAAAAUAGGCUUUUUAAAAAUAUUUUUAAAAAUCAUGAUUAGUAUAAAAAUAUGGAAAUAUGAGGAUUUGUUUGCAUUUCGUGGCUACUAAAAAUUCAUUAUAUUAAAUAUUGUGCUAUAUUUUGCUAUGGAACCCUAAAAAAGUAGUUACAUAAAACUGACACUAAAAUUGACUCAAAAGCUCAAACUAAUCGGCCAGAAUUUUUUUCUGAGCAGCAGGAGCUCCAUACUUUGACCCCCUCUCCCCCUUCGGACACGGAGUUCAAAGUGGCUACCGGUCUUGUUUGACUCGGGAGGACGUGUAUAAUACCCAUACCAAACGCCAAUGCCCUACUCAAAAAUUCACCUUUUCCCAAUAGAGAACGGACUGUGUUAGACAGACGACAGUGCAUGUUGUUACACGGUAAAUUUUACUAGAAGACCAAAUUUAUAAGUUCCUUAGUUAUUCUAUUUUUAACUAAAUAAGUUCUUGUACUAUAAGCAAUCGGAAUAGGCAGAGUAGAUAUAUUUAUUUUUAAACGAAAUGACUUCCUUGCGAUAGUAUUUUUUCAGUACAGAUGGUGUUUUUUUUUACGCACUAGUGCGAGAAGUGGUUCAUUAUACGCCAGGUCUAAACUUCGGAG
Molecule: long non-coding RNA, 1446 nt
Organism: Leguminivora glycinivorella
Lineage: Eukaryota; Metazoa; Arthropoda; Insecta; Lepidoptera; Tortricidae
Exons: 3
Source: RefSeq, a predicted model, not a curated record